CAUCUUACCUGACAGUGCUUGG
RNAcentral lists this microRNA (22 nucleotides) under Danio rerio (zebrafish). RNAcentral describes it as "dre-miR-141-5p". Its record names the gene dre-miR-141-5p. Lineage: Eukaryota; Metazoa; Chordata; Actinopteri; Cypriniformes; Danionidae. The record is from miRBase by way of RNAcentral.